Molecule: ribosomal RNA, 617 nt
Filed under: Lambertella sp. FC-1230
Lineage: Eukaryota; Fungi; Ascomycota; Leotiomycetes; Helotiales; Rutstroemiaceae
Description: eukaryotic LSU rRNA
Rfam family: Eukaryotic large subunit ribosomal RNA
Source: RNAcentral
UGCAUAUCAAUAAGCUGAGGAAAAGAAACCAACAGGGAUUGCCUCAGUAACGGCGAGUGAAGCGGCAAAAGCUCAAAUUUGAAAUCUGGCUCUUUCAGGGUCCGAGUUGUAAUUUGUAGAAGAUGUUUCGGGUGUGGUCCCAGUCUAAGUUCCCUGGAACUGGACAUCACAGAGGGUGAGAAUCCCGUAUGUGACUGGGUACCUACGUCCAUGUGAAACUCUUUCGACGAGUCGAGUUGUUUGGGAAUGCAGCUCAAAAUGGGUGGUAAAUUUCAUCUAAAGCUAAAUAUUGGCCAGAGACCGAUAGCGCACAAGUAGAGUGAUCGAAAGAUGAAAAGCACUUUGGAAAGAGAGUUAAACAGUACGUGAAAUUGUUGAAAGGGAAGGGCAUGCAAUCAGACUUGCGCCUAGUUGAUCAUCCGGGCUUUUGCCCGGUGCACUCGAUUAGGCUCAGGCCAGCAUCAGUUUAGAGGGUUGGAUAAAGGCCUUGGGAAUGUGGCCCCUCUCGGGGGGUGUUAUAGCCCAAGGUGCAAUGCAGCCACUCUGGACUGAGGACCGCGCUUCGGCUAGGAUGCUGGCGUAAUGGUUGUAUGCCGCCCGUCUUGAAACACGGACCA